This 945-nucleotide ribosomal RNA is filed under the name Acinetobacter calcoaceticus. RNAcentral's name for it is "bacterial SSU rRNA". It matches the Rfam family "Bacterial small subunit ribosomal RNA", at positions 421 to 1355 of the family's 1533-position model. Lineage: Bacteria; Pseudomonadati; Pseudomonadota; Gammaproteobacteria; Moraxellales; Moraxellaceae. The record is from RNAcentral.
GGUUGUAAAGCACUUUAAGCGAGGAGGAGGCUACUUUAGUUAAUACCUAUAGAUAGUGGACGUUACUCGCAGAAUAAGCACCGGCUAACUCUGUGCCAGCAGCCGCGGUAAUACAGAGGGUGCAAGCGUUAAUCGGAUUUACUGGGCGUAAAGCGCGCGUAGGCGGCUAAUUAAGUCAAAUGUGAAAUCCCCAAGCUUAACUUGGGAAUUGCAUUCGAUACUGGUUAGCUAGAGUGUGGGAGAGGAUGGUAGAAUUCCAGGUGUAACGGUCGAAAUGCAUAGAGAUCUGGAGGAAUACCGAUGACGAACGCAGCCAUCUAGCCUAACACUGACGCUGAGGUGCGAAAGCAUGGGGAGCAAACAGUGAUUAGAUACCCUGGUAGUCCAUGCCGUAAACGAUGUCUACUAGCCAUUAGGGCCUUUGAGGCUUUAGUGGCGCAGCUAACGCGAUAACUAGACCGCCUGGGGAGUACGGUCGCAAGACUAAAACUCAAAUGAAUUGACGGGGGCCCGCCCAAGCGGUGGAGCAUGUGGUUUAAUUCGAUGCAACGCGAAGACCCUUACCUGUCCUUGACAUAGUAAGAACUUUCCAGAGAUGGAUUGGUGCCUUCGGGAACUUACAUACAGGUGCUGCAUGGCUGUUGUCAGCUCGUGUCGUGAGAUGUUGGGUUAAGUCCCGCAACGAGCGCAACCCUUUUCCUUAUUUGCCAGCGAGUAAUGUCGGCAACUUUAAGGAUACUGCCAGUGACAAACUGGAGGAAGGCGGGGACGACGUCAAGUCAUCAUGGCCCUUACGGCCAGGGCUACACACGUGCUCCAAUGGUCGGUACAAAGGGUUGCUACCUAGGGAUAGGAUGCUAAUCUCAAAAAGCCGAUUGUAGUCCGGAUUGGAGUCUGCAACUCGACUCCAUGAAGUCGGAAUCGCUAGUAAUCGCGGAUCAGAAU